GGAUCCCAGCGGAAACCAGAGGUGGGAGGGCUCUUCCUGCCCAGGGGAGGCUUCCCAGGAGUGUGAGGGAUUUACAAUCGCCUCCUCUCGCUCCCUGUCCUCUGCAGAGCUGCUCUGAAGGCCAUGUGCAGUGGCAGGCUGCAGACAGCUUUGCUGGUGGCUGGCUAUUUUGUCUACCUGCUGGUGGGUGCUGCCGUGUUCCAGGCCCUGGAGAGGACUGCUGAGAAACAAGAGAAAAUGGCAGCUGCCCAGAUGAAGGAGGCUUUUCUGCAGAACUUCACGCAGCUCACGGUGGCUGAGAUGGAGCAGUUCAUGAAGAACCUGAUUGAAGCCAUUCAAAAUGGAGUAUACCCUGUUGGGAAUGAAUCACAGUUUGAAGAGAGCAACUGGGAUUUCAGCAACUCCUUCUUCUUUGCAGGCACAGUUGUCUCCACAAUAGGCUAUGGCACAUUACAUCCUAAAACUGCUGGGGGACAGAUCUUUUGUGUGUUUUUUGCUCUUUUUGGAAUCCCUCUGAACAUUGUUUUUCUGCACCGUGUUGGUAAGAUGCUCUCACUGCUCUGUAAAAAGCUGGGGAAAUUCCUGUACGAGAAAGGAAUGAGAAAGAAGAAGAUCAAAUUUCUGACCCUUUUGUUCUUCCUGGCGACGGGGAUCCUGGUUUUUCUGUUCUUGCCAUCAGUCUUCUUCCAGAUAACAGAGGGCUGGUCCUACAGUGAAGGAAUUUACUUUGCAUUUAUCACCCUCAGCACCAUUGGCUUCGGAGAUUAUGUAGUAGGCAAACAGUCUGACAGGAAAUACUUUUCCUACUAUCGAGUGCUUGUGGCCAUUUGGAUUCUUUUUGGCCUUGCCUGGAUUGCUCUGCUGUUUAAUUUAUUGACAACAGUACUAGAAGAUACUGAAAAAAUAAUUGUCAAGGAUCUCCAGCAAAUUGGAAAGUACACAUUCCUUUGUCCCAUCCAGCUGAUGAGCUGAGAAAUGGAGCAAUCAGCCCUGUAUAAAGGAUCUGAGAGCAUAGGCACAGGUGUUCCCAGAGAAAGAAGACAAUGUGCCCUCAAGUCUGUGUAGUAAGUUCUGCACGUUGGAUUGAGAUGGUUCAUUUCUGAUGCUCACAGCUCACGCCUCAGAUAACCCACGCAUCCCGGGUGCCACCAGCACUUUGGAGGAGUCCUCCAGCUCUGUAUCCUUGGAUAACCUGCACAAGAUAAGAGCCAGAUGGCCAUCAAAACCAGGACAAACCAUCAGCUAAAGAGGGCAGACUCUGAGGAUGAGAUGCUGAAGUAGAAGGUGAAUUUGAUUCUGCCUGAAGGUGAGUUCCCCUUGCACUCCAUGUCCCUUGGUGCUGAAGUGCAGAUCUCUGUGCAGUCACCUGCUGCACUUAAGACAGCAACAGUUUGCAUUUUCUGAAAACCAAUAAACAGAAUUUAAUAAAGAAAUAAAAGGAGGAUCCCUUUGGGGCCUGCAAAACACCACGCUGGUCAUAGUAGUCUGAGAGAAAGGAGGGCACAGAUUCAAAUUUUGGCAGCAAGUCCAGAGUCUCUGUUAGCACAAAGGGUCCAGCAAGGCAGCUGCAGAUGAGUCUGUGACUUCUCACUGGCACUGAGCCACAGCAGCUUCAAAGAGAAAUGCCAUAAGAAGCUGAUUUUUCAUGUGUGAGUGUGUGUGUUCUUUUAUUAGGAAUUUUUGUAUUUCUGCCUCGUAAUAGCAGAAGGAAUAUCACGAUUUCCCAAGUGUAACAAAUUCAAUGUGUCAUACAUGCUGGAUGGAAGUAAUUUAACACGAGUGCUCUUUAAUUUCAUCGAUCUCUGGCAAAUGGGUCCUGGUUAAUGAUUGGGGGUUUGCUGUUUUUCCUUUUUAAACUCAAAUCUUUUAAAGUCCAGAUGGAGAGGGUUUGCUACAGCUGUGCAAGAACAGUGACACUGAUACAUGCUGAACUCUGCGGGUGGUAUUAAAAAUCUGUCAUCUACUUUAAAAGGAUUUUUUGAAAGUCAUUUUAAAGGGACAUCAUCAAUUUGAAGAUCACUCUGGAUCUCAUAAUAUUACAAGUAAUAUUUCAGACUAUCACAUGAAGCCAGCUGUGGGGACAGAAAUCGAUGCUAUGUGCCAAGCAAGCCUCUUUGUAUUUUUAUGAUAUUUUACACUGGAUUUUUAAAGUCUUCCAGGGAGAAGUUGCAACCCUGUGAACUGCUACUGAAUGGACAGGUAAGCCCCAGCACUGGUCACAGGCUGUUACACCAAGCCCAGCACUUCCAGCAGCAAAUAAGGGCUGGGACUGGACUCAUCCUGUGCUGAGGGGGACAUUCUUGGCAGCAGCCAGAAGCAGAGAAAUGCUGGUGUUGAUUUCCAGAAAAGAACAUUUGUUUUUUGCAACACUCCUCAGCAUUAGGACAACAUUUAGAGAUGCAAGGAAGCCUCCUGGUCCCAGCUGCUUUGGCUCCUGCUGUGACCUCCUUUGGUUUUCAUUAAAUUGUGGUUAGGACUGUUCCUUGUUCAAGGUGAGGGCUCUGAUUUACAAGGGGCUGAGGCUGCACUUUAUCUGCAGAGAGCAAAAAUGCUUCAGAGAGGGAAAGCUCUCCCCAUCUGAGAAGUUUCUGGAGUGGAAACAAUGACCAAAUCACUUGGAAAGGUAAGUCCCAGCACAGGGAAACAUGAGCCAGGUUGUGAUCUAGGAGGGGAUCAAGGAAACUAAACACUUUACAACUGCAAGUGUAUUUUAGACCUGGGGCAGGCAGCACCUUUUUGUGCCUUUUCACAACCACCUCUGUUGGCUCACCACAAAACCUGCUCCAUUUCAAAGCUCAGGGGUUUUAUGAGAUUAAUCCAUCUCAUGUCAUCUUGCAGAAGAAAUGAGGGACAUCUGGGCCUGAUGGUCUCCAGUGGGACUGAGAUGGUCUAGGACAGGGCUGGAUCAAUCUUCUCUUGGCACCCUCACUUCCAACCCAAACCAUUCUGUGAUUCAAUGAUCCAAGCCAAGAGCUGAGGUCUAGAACUGAAGUUCUGUGUUAUCUGGGCUUUUUUUCCUCUUCAGAGCAUGUGGUACCUCCAGAGGUCAUGAGGCUAAAUUAAUUAGGGGACUGGGAAGCCAACCGGUGCUACAGGAAUAUGGUGAUGGAAAUCCCUAUCCAUCAUUUUCUGCAGUCCUCUGGAUUGAUACAUAUUGAUCAGCUGGAUCCCAGCAGCUGAUAACUAGUGCUCAGUAUCUGCAUUUUCUGUAGAAUCAUUGUGUGACAUGCAUUUUUUAAAAAAACCCCUCCAUUUAUCGCAGCCUUUUUGCAUAAAUUUAAAUAACUGGAUUCCAUUUAUUUAGUUGAAAGCAUUCUGCACGACACAUCUUGCUUGGCGUUACAGCUACAAGUGCUAAAAGCCCCCAGGAAGAACCAGUGCUUAUGGAAAGCCUCCCCAGCACCCCAUAAACACGGAGAGGACCGUGGGGAUGAUGGUCUGUGCUGUGGCAGGGAAAGGAGCCCCUGCCAGGCACCAAACCCAGCCUCCAGCUGUCUCCUGGGGACACCAGAAGUGCCCUGGGGAGGAUCUCAUUUCCCUGACUGGAACACGGUGAUUGCAGAGAUCUCUGCUGCAGGCACACAGAGCAGAGGGAGAGGAGGCUGGAGGCUGAUGCAGCAGCCAGGACAGAGCAGUGGGAGCUGAAGGUGUGGGCAGAAAUCUGGGAGUGAGCAGAGAGGGCUCCCAGCUGGGUGGUGUGGUCAGAGCUCCCUCUCCUGACGGGCCAGCACCGUCCCUUCAGGAUUUGACCUCGGUUUUUACCCUCUCUGAGGGAUGGAAGCAGAGUCAGGACUUUUCCUGGUGUCCCUCAGCUCUCUAGGAAGCACCCGACUUUACACCCCAACUCCUCUCUGGUCAAACAGCGAGCAAGAAUAUAAAGCAAAUACAUGUAUCUUUAAUUAAAUUCCAGGCAGCACUGGUGCUGCUUAAUCUUCUGAAAAGAGCCAACACUGCUAUUUCCCUCAUAAGCUGGAGUUUCCUUCCAGCCUGACAAGGUGAUACACUGCAGCCCUUUAUCUGAGGAAUGGCACAUUUUAUUUUUCUUUUCCUUGCCCUGGUGAUCCGUGUGUAAUUUCAUUUAGCAACACCAGUGUGCUAGGCUGCCUGGAAGGGAAAAUCCUCACACUUAAAGGGCUGAUCCAGAGAACCAGUUCCUGAGGAGCAGCCAAACAUCUUUUGCAGCAUCUUGGCAUAUUGAGACUUUUCUAAUUUGGCUUUACAUUUCCUAGAAAUUGUUGAAGAAAUGUGUUUGUCAGUGAGGCUGCAGACCCAGAGGGAGCACCCAGCUUGUCACCAUUUAUUUUAGCCUCUGAUUUCUUUUGGACUUCAACUAAACUCGUCAUGGGGGUAGAGAAACAAACCAAAAAAUCCCCACUAAAUAACAAAAGCCAUAGAUACAUUAUGCAGCCAUUGCAUUUUGCAAUCUAAUUACUUUAACAUGUAGGGAUGGAGGAGGGGGUUAUUGCUCAUAAUACCGGAAAGCUUUCACAGAAUAACACAGAAUUAUUAAACUUUUCAGAAAGGAUCCAGUUUGCAGUUCCCACUGCACGUUUACCUGGGCGAUUUUCCCUUUUCCUGUGGCCGAGAAUCACUUUGUAUUACACUUCCCUGCCUAUAAAAGAAGCCCUUGUUCAUAGCUGCCCUGAGGUGCUCAUAAUGUUAUUGGUUCUGUGCUAAGAAGUUGGGGUUGCUGUGAAUUCCUGCCUUGUGGCUCUCCAGCUCACAAAAGUAAACACAUUUGCUGAGUUAGCUCGGCUUCAUGGUGCCCAAGAUCCCACAGGGAAUGAAAC
This is an RNA transcript of Passer montanus (Eurasian tree sparrow), 4790 nucleotides long. It is a transcript of the gene named potassium channel subfamily K member 16-like, with no coding region annotated. The record is from RefSeq and is a predicted model, not a curated record. Lineage: Eukaryota; Metazoa; Chordata; Aves; Passeriformes; Passeridae. The transcript is spliced from 7 exons.